Molecule: transfer RNA, 85 nt
Filed under: uncultured marine phage
Description: tRNA-Tyr
Rfam family: tRNA
About the family: Transfer RNA (tRNA) molecules are approximately 80 nucleotides in length.
Source: RNAcentral
GGGAUGUUAUACCGUAGGGAUAGCGGGACAGGUUGUAACCCUGUUGUCAUAACGACUCGGGUGGUUUGACUCCAUCACAUCUCAC